UGACACUGAACACUGGUCCUUGAUGUGUAGGAUAGGUGGGAGGCUUUGAAGCGUGGACGCCAGUCUGCGUGGAGCCGCCCUUGAAAUACCACCCUUUAAUGGCUGGUGUUCUAACGUAGACCCGUAAUCCGGGUUGCGGACAGUGUCUGGUGGGUAGUUUGACUGGGGCGGUCUCCUCCCAAAGAGUAACGGAGGAGCACGAAGGUUAGCUAAUCCUGGUCGGACAUCAGGAGGUUAGUGCAAUGGCAUAAGCUAGCUUGACUGCGAGAGUGACGGCUCGAGCAGGUGCGAAAGCAGGUCAUAGUGAUCCGGUGGUUCUGAAUGGAAGGGCCAUCGCUCAACGGAUAAAAGGUACUCCGGGGAUAACAGGCUGAUACCGCCCAAGAGUUCAUAUCGACGGCGGUGUUUGGCACCUCGAUGUCGGCUCAUCACAUCCUGGGGCUGAAGUAGGUCCCAAGGGUAUGGCUGUUCGCCAUUUAAAGUGGUACGCGAGCUGGGUUUAGAACGUCGUGAGACAGUUCGGUCCCUAUCUGCCGUGGGCGCUGGAGAAUUGAGGGGGGCUGCUCCUAGUACGAGAGGACCGGAGUGGACGCAUCACUGGUGUUCGGGUUGUCAUGCCAAUGGCAUUGCCCGGUAGCUAAAUGCGGAAGAGAUAAGUGCUGAAAGCAUCUAAGCACGAAACUUGCCCCGAGAUGAGUUCUCCCUGACUCCUUGAGAGUCCUGAAGGAACGUUGAAGACUACGACGUUGAUAGGUCGGGUGUGUAAGCGCAGCGAUGCGUUGAGCUAACCGAUACUAAUGAACCGUGAGGCUUAACCUU
Molecule: ribosomal RNA, 819 nt
Filed under: Enterobacter cloacae
Lineage: Bacteria; Pseudomonadati; Pseudomonadota; Gammaproteobacteria; Enterobacterales; Enterobacteriaceae
Description: partial 23S ribosomal RNA
Rfam family: Bacterial large subunit ribosomal RNA
Source: RNAcentral